This 519-nucleotide ribosomal RNA is filed under the name Macaca nigra (Celebes crested macaque). RNAcentral describes it as "partial 12S ribosomal RNA". It matches the Rfam family "Bacterial small subunit ribosomal RNA", at positions 789 to 1527 of the family's 1533-position model. The record is from RNAcentral. Lineage: Eukaryota; Metazoa; Chordata; Mammalia; Primates; Cercopithecidae.
ACUAUGCUUGGCCCUAAACCUCAAUAGUUAAACAACAAAACUACUCGCCAGAAUACUACAAGCAACAGCUUAAAACUCAAAGGACUUGACGGUGCUUUAUACCCCCCUAGAGGAGCCUGUUCCAUAAUCGAUAAACCCCGAUCCACCUCACCCUCUCUUGCUUAGCCUAUAUACCGCCAUCUUCAGCAAACCCUGAUAAAGGUUACAAAGUGAGCACAAACGCCCCGCCGCCGCAAAAACGUUAGGUCAAGGUGUAGCCCAUGAGAGGGUAAAAAUGGGCUACAUUUUCUACAUCAGAAAACCCCACGAAAACUCUUAUGAAACCUGAGAGUCCAAGGAGGAUUUAGCAGUAAAUUAAGAAUAGAGUGCUUAAUUGAACCAGGCCAUAAAGCGCGUACACACCGCCCGUCACUCCCCUCAAAUAUAUUUAAGGAACAUCUUAACUAAACACCCCAAUAUUUAUAUAGAGGGGAUAAGUCGUAACAUGGUAAGUGUACUGGAAGGUGCACUUGGAUAAAC